ACGGGGUGCAGCAGGCGCGAAAACUUUGCAAUGCGCGCAAGCGUGACAAGGGGACCCCAAGUGCGCACGUACAACGUGUGCUUUUACGGAGUGUAAAAAGCUUCGGGAAUAAGGGCUGGGUAAGACUGGUGCCAGCCUCCGCGGUAACACCAGCAGCUCAAGUGGUGAUCGCGUUUACUGGGUUUAAAGCGUGCGUAGUCGGUUCGGCAAGUUUUCUGUGAAAUCCUACGGCUUAACUGUAGGGAUUGCAGAAAAUACUACCGGGCUUGAGGCCGGGGUAGGUGUAGGGUAUUUCGGGGGUAGCGGUGAAAUGCUAUAAUCCCUGGAGGACCACCAGUAGCGAAGGCGCUACACUGGAACGGGCCUGACGAUGAGGUACGAGAGCUAGGGGAGCGAACAGGAUUAGAUACCCUGGUAGUCCUAGCUGUAAACGAUGUGGGUUUAGUGUUCCCCGAACCUCGUGUUCGGGGAGUGCUGAAGGGAAACCGUUAAACCCACCACCUGGGGAGUACGGUCGCAAGGCUGAAACUUAAAGGAAUUGGCGGGGGAACACCACAAGGGGUGGAUGCUGCGGUUCAAUUGGAUACAACGCCGGGAAACUUACCAAGUGCGACGGCACAAUGAAGGCCAGGCUAAAGGUCUUGCCGGAGGAGCCGAGAGGUAGUGCAUGGCCGUCGUCAGCUCGUACCGUGAGGCGUACGGUUAAGUCCGUUAACGAGCGAGACCCGUGCCCC
Molecule: ribosomal RNA, 734 nt
Filed under: uncultured archaeon
Lineage: Archaea
Description: bacterial SSU rRNA
Rfam family: Archaeal small subunit ribosomal RNA
Source: RNAcentral